RNAcentral lists this microRNA precursor (103 nucleotides) under Marmota monax (woodchuck). Lineage: Eukaryota; Metazoa; Chordata; Mammalia; Rodentia; Sciuridae. The record is from RNAcentral.
AGCAUGAUUGCCUGAUUGUGUGGUAGGAUUAUAUUUAGCUUUGUAGGAAACUGCCAAACUGUCUUUCAAAGCAGCUGCCCCAUUUUGCAUUCCCACCAGCAGU